RNAcentral lists this long non-coding RNA (256 nucleotides) under Lathyrus oleraceus (garden pea). RNAcentral describes it as "Pisum sativum (pea) long non-coding RNA (PSAT_LNC016739)". The record is from RNAcentral. Lineage: Eukaryota; Viridiplantae; Streptophyta; Magnoliopsida; Fabales; Fabaceae.
UCGGCCCGGCUGAUACCCGACCCCAAAUCGGUCUUUCUUCUCGGGGACCUCCAUCAUUCUGCCCCAACCAGGAGCCUCUCCACUCUUCACCACCUCAGUGGCCUGCUUAUAUGAAGCGAUGGACGGUUUUUCUUCCUUAGCAAACAGAGCAUUCUCCACCUUAACGGUUUCAAAAGCCUGACUGGGUGUCUCCCAGAUCUCGCCAUCCAUCUCCACAUAUUUGAACGAGGACAGAUGGCUGACAAAAAUGUCCUCC